This 244-nucleotide ribosomal RNA is filed under the name uncultured bacterium. Its description in RNAcentral is "partial 16S ribosomal RNA". It matches the Rfam family "Bacterial small subunit ribosomal RNA", at positions 528 to 772 of the family's 1533-position model. The record is from RNAcentral.
GAAGAUGCGAGCGUUAUCCGGAUUUAUUGGGUUUAAAGGGCGCGUAGGCGGGCUGUUAAGUCAGCGGUCAAAUCGUGCGGCUCAACCGUACCUUGCCGUUGAAACUGGUGGUCUUGAGUUCGGACAGGGCAGAUGGAAUUCGUGGUGUAGCGGUGAAAUGCUUAGAUAUCACGAAGAACUCCGACAGCGAAGGCAUUCUGCCGGGGCGAAACUGACGCUGAGGCUCGAAAGUGCGGGUAUCAAA